This 253-nucleotide ribosomal RNA is filed under the name uncultured bacterium. RNAcentral describes it as "partial 16S ribosomal RNA". It matches the Rfam family "Bacterial small subunit ribosomal RNA", at positions 524 to 776 of the family's 1533-position model. The record is from RNAcentral.
UACGUAGGGACCGAGCGUUGUCCGGAUUCAUUGGGCGUAAAGAGCUCGUAGGCGGCCACUCAAGUCGAAUGUGAAACCUCGAGGCUUAACCUCGAGCCUGCAUUCGAUACUGGGCGGCUAGAGUCUGGUAGGGGGAUCUGGAAUUCCUGGUGUAGCGGUGGAAUGCGCAGAUAUCAGGAGGAACACCGGUGGCGAAGGCGGGAUCCUGGGCCAGUACUGACGCUGAGGAGCGAAAGCAUGGGGAGCGAACAGG